GCAGCUGGAGGAGGGAGGGAGAGCAGGCGGGACUCCCCCGCACCCCCACCCGUGACACCUCCAAGCAUCACGGUUGUUGGACUCCUACCUUGAGAGAGAACUUCAGGCUGUGAACUCCAGGACCAUGGCCCUGAGGGCACUGUUAGCCUCGACUGUCCCUGCCAAGCCUCCCCUGGGGCCUCACCCCACCCUAGCCCAUGGCCCAGGACACCGUUCCAGCUCAGCCCAGGCCAUUAGUCUCUGCCCCAGUGACACCACAGUUGUGCCUGAUCCCAUCCCUGUCUCUGAGCCCAUGUUCUGCUGCUUCUGACUGAGCCUUCUGGAUGGACCCCGCAUCUGGUUUAUCUUCUCAUAUUGCCCUCCUCAGCUCCCAGCUCCUCCUCCCUUGUGGAGCAGCUCUGUGCUUGCUGCUCCCUGACAUCCAGUUUGUCACAGGUGCCUCCUGACAGCCCAGUUAGUUGUGUAAAGACAGCACAAAUUGCAGUUCCUUGAGGAAACUAAAACUUAAGCCAUCAGGUUUACCUGACACCUUGCUCCUUGGUGAAGUCACUCAUGACAUUGGUACCACUGAUCUGCUUUCAAAUUCAAACUGGGUCACAUGAGGCCACUUUCAGAAGCACGUGCACCUGUACUUUUGCAAACUUAGCCUUACAAUUGUAACUCUCCUAACUGUGUCACCACGGAGUCAAAACAGAGAAAGAACAACAUGGACACCCACCACAAAUCUGUCUAACGGGAGCAACUACUCCUGACGCAUAUCUGUUGUUGCUGCCACUCCUAUCCUGGAAGCUGACUGCGGGAAAGCCUGGGGGUUCGUUGCAGGGGGAAAUUUAUGGGAUCAUGUGGUUGUCUACUGCUCUAGGUUGCAGCACUCAUUUAUAUACAUUGCCUGACAUUUUCCACCCUCUCCCAAUGAAGGGCAUAUCUAGGUCAGGAACUGACUGACUUGAGGUGUUCUGAGGAUCUCUGGUGAUUGAAGUGGUCACAGAAAAGAGUUUAAACCUGCAUAAAUCACAGCCACCUUCCUAAGUCCCCUUUAUUGCUUCAACUUGGAGGCACUAGAUUUAAAGCUAUCUGCCUCUUGUACUUUACUGCACUAUUUGUGCCAAGCACAAGCUGCAGAUGACUUGUGGAGAGCCAAAUUAAAUAACUAUGUUUGAGGCAGCUAAAGAUGAAAAUAUUUUAAACCUUGCAAUGGAAGCGGCUCUCCCAGAACAUAAGAGCCAGAUAAUACUCGUGCCUCAAAACCAUCAUGCCUCAACUAACCACCAGACAUGUCAAUAUCACGAGUUGUUCCUAUAGCACAAGACCACUCCCAUGUAGAAAAACACUCCUCUUCUUCCAGUCAAGAGUCACUUGUGGAGAUUCCUCUGAAAUUGAAACGUUAGCAGUAGAUAGAUCAUCACGGAAAGGACGCAGUGCUUCAGCAAAUGCAAGUGUCAGCAGCUACAUGCUCAUGCAAGUGGGGACAAAACCAGCUCUCAAGUAAUUCAAACAUCCUGGGCUGCCUGCUGGGAAGAACAGUGGUCCUGUGCUUCUAGCAGGAUCUUAUAGCUAAUUAUAACUCAGUUUUGGGAGCACUACAGAAGGUGCCCAGAUGAAUAUUGUCCAUAUGUCCUGGGCACAUGCUAUGCCCAGUCUUACCCUGCUAUCUUGGAGUGGGACUCCUGGAAAAUCGUUGCUCUGCUCACUCAACCUUCUGCACACCGUAAGUAAAUAACAGCUCCCAUCUUUUAUUUCUUGGCCAAAUGAAAGCUGUAAUGCAUAGUUUGUAAGACCAGGAGUACUGGUUACAGAACAUUUGCUGCCUUUCCUCCCAAGAAUCCUAGAAUUAUAGAAUAUCUCAAGGUGGAAGUGACCCAGAAGGAUCAUGGCAACUCCCUGCUCCUCCCAGGACUACCUAAAACUAAACCAUAUGAAUAACAAAAUGGUCCAGACACUCCUUGAACUCUGACAGGCUUCGUGCCAUGACCACUUCCCUGGGCAGUCUGUUCCAGUGACUGCCCGACCUCUCAGUGAAGAACCUUUUCCUAACAACCAAUCUGAACUUCCUCUGAUGCAGCUUCACACCCUUUCUUCAUGUCCUACCACUGGUCACCAGAGAGCGGAGAUCAGCACCUCCCCCGUCCCUGUCCCCCCUUGAGGAAGCUGUAGGCUGCCAUGAGGUCCCCCUCAGCCUUCUCUUCUCCAGGCUGAACAAGCCAAGUGACUUCAGCUGCUCCACAGAUCCUCUCCCAAAACUAUUACUGGAAUUAUAGCUGAUGGAGAAAGUUCUGGAGGAAGUGCAGCUUUCCAUAAGGUAGAGAGAUUGGGAGACAUCUCAUUUUGCUAGCCAAAAUCACUCUUUAAUAGAUAAUGUGAAGGAAGUCAGAACAACAGAUUUACUCAGAAUCUGACUGUCAUAGCAAGAAGAGAGGCAUUUUUUUUUUUUUGCAAUUAAAAAUAUUCAGUCUUUCCUAAAAUGGUUGUUAGCCCUGCUAUUAAAAGUGUAUUGUACGUUACAAGAACAUGGUGUUUAUAGUCAGUCCCUCAACAUCUUUAGAAUUUUACUCCAACUAACAGCCACCAAAAUGAAAUGAGAUCUGAGCAAGGCCAUAAUAGUACAUUCAUUAGUAGAACAGGAGUCUAUUUGGAAAGCGUAAAACAUCUGAGAUUUCUUAAUUAUGUUUAAAAAUUGGAACAUAAUGUGUUAUUUUUGUUGACAUUUGUUGUGCUUCUAGUGAACAAAUAUGCUGGAAGGAUACUAACAGGAAAUUCUGUUUGCAAGAUAAGCAGCUGUUAGCCCCCAAAGCUUCAGAAGUUCAUAGGGGCCAAAAAAAAGGUCUUUCUGUGUCUCACAUAAUGAAUAGUCAGCAUUCCACAUCAGCCAAAGGAAAUGCUUUGGGGGUAUUUUUUACAGAUGCAAUCAAAUCUUGUGUUUGUGUGAAGAAGGACAGAGCUUGCUAUUUGUCUGUGGAAUAACAGUUUCAAAGGUUAUGUUUCACCACAAAAAUCUUGAACUGUUGUCAUUCCAAAAUGCUUCAGAACUGGCCUAUUUUGUAACUUACUGUUUAAUUUCUGGAAAGAGACUUGGUCCAGAACAUGUCAUUGUUUUCAAAUUGGAAACCCUCAUUAUUUCAAUGCACGUUUCUUGAAAAGUGUUCUGGUCUGGUUUAUAACCAUCUACAAAGCAGCUAACUGAGAACUGCUUCAGUCUUUUGCUCUUCUGUUGUGGCCCACAGAUGCAACAGAUUUCAAGUAAACUCACAAAGGAAAGAGUAACAAAAGAACACCAGUAGCAGACCAUGUGAUCCAUUAGUAAGAUCGAAGAUCAUAAAAUGGGUAUGUCCUCAUCAAAUUUCUAAGUGCUAUGUAGUGAGAUACAUCUUCAGCUGAUGAAUAUGGCAUAACCUCAUUUAUUACUAUGCUAACUUACAUCUACCAAAGUGGCGGACCUGGUGAGUCACUGGUAAUUCUGGGAAAAUUCCAUGCUUCUUUGGAAAUGCUUGUUCUUGGAAAAGUAGUGUUGGAUUUUUAUACAUAAAGCAUGUUCUAUGACUGUCCUUCAUAGCAAGCAAGUAGUAAAUUUAACUUUAUACAUUAUUAUUUCAUAUAAAAAUGUUGAAAUAAAAGUGAAAAUUGUGCAAGUUACUGCAUGUUCUGUAUGAUCUAUUUGUAGAAGAAGGGUGAUGAAACUUCAGAGCUCUGAAUUCCUUCCAAUGGAAAAAACAAGCUCUGAGGAGCUUGGCAUUCAUGAAAUCUUAAUCCAAAAGGGUCAGAGAAGUAGUAAGCUAUGAUCCUUGCAGGGAGAUUGACAUAGUGACUUCAAACCCUUCACAAGUCCAGUGACAGAAAACACGGAAGGCCUUCAAUCAAGCUGCUCUUUAACUGUCUUCAACAUGUAAGAGAUAUAUUACAAUGUUUGUGUUCUGCUAAACUUUGGCAGUAUAACAGCGCAGUCUGGCUCCUUUUCUGUGUUUUCUCUCCCUGCUUUAGGGUAGAAUACAGUUUUACUUGUGGGGUACAAGAAAUGUAUAGUUAGAUGCCUCUAUGACAAAAAAAAAAAAGUAACUGUGCUGUGACGAGAACUCCACAAGUUCUCAGCAAACGCAGGGUGGAUUUGUUUUCUCAAGAAAAUACAAUGGCCCUAACUGCAAUUAUAUAAAAGCAUUGGGUUAUUCAGUUUCAGAGUGAUGAAGUAUAGUAGGAAACAGCCUAGACAAGACAGAAUAUGUACAAAAUACAACACUAAGUGCUUGCAUAAAAACUGUGAUUGGUAAACUGGAAAUGUCCUUAAGAGUUAUUGAGCAACAGAGCAGAGGACCACACAGCAGCUCUGACUGUGUUGCAUACAUGGACCAGGGCUCUUUUUGCAUUGAGCUUGUUUUGGGCCAUGACAAUUCCAAACUGACAGGCAUUCAAGUAUUCAGCUGUCUCAGACCAGAACAGAUCAAGUAGGUCUAGCCUUUUCCUCUGAUUUCUCCAUCACUAUGUUUCCUCAGAAGGUGCAGGUGUAACUGAUGUUGGAAAUGACACUAUGAAAUGGGAAUAAGCAAUUUUUCAGGAACAUCCUGGUCUCAACAUGACAAAUGAUGCUUUUUUUCCCCUGUAUCUAGCAUGUUGUUUUCUUAGUAAUGCCUGAAGUGCACAGAAGUAGAAAUAAGUUGUGACAUUUAUAUACACUGAUUCCUGUCCUCACAUUUGAAAAUGUUUUCUCUGGAAAGAGUUGAAUAGUUUUAUUUUCUUCUGCUGCUGUUUUGGUUUUAG
Strigops habroptila (Kakapo) is the source of this 4746-nucleotide long non-coding RNA. RefSeq lists it as uncharacterized. The transcript has 3 exons. The record is from RefSeq and is a predicted model, not a curated record. Lineage: Eukaryota; Metazoa; Chordata; Aves; Psittaciformes; Psittacidae.